GCGGAUGUGGCGGAAUGGCAGACGCAGCAGACUCAAAAUCUGCCGCCCACAAAGCGUGCGGGUUCAAGUCCCGCCAUCCGCA
RNAcentral lists this transfer RNA (82 nucleotides) under Eubacterium sp. Its description in RNAcentral is "tRNA-Leu". It matches the Rfam family "tRNA". From Rfam's summary of the family: Transfer RNA (tRNA) molecules are approximately 80 nucleotides in length. Their secondary structure includes four short double-helical elements and three loops (D, anti-codon, and T loops). Further hydrogen bonds mediate the characteristic L-shaped molecular structure. tRNAs have two regions of fundamental functional importance: the anti-codon, which is responsible for specific mRNA codon recognition, and the 3' end, to which the tRNAs corresponding amino acid is attached (by aminoacyl-tRNA synthetases). tRNAs cope with the degeneracy of the genetic code in two manners: having more than one tRNA (with a specific anti-codon) for a particular amino acid; and 'wobble' base-pairing, i.e. permitting non-standard base-pairing at the 3rd anti-codon position. The record is from RNAcentral. Lineage: Bacteria; Bacillati; Bacillota; Clostridia; Eubacteriales; Eubacteriaceae.